AGAGAAGGUACCGACACCGUCAGGUGGUGGAGGAAGGGGAUCUACAGGGAGAAGUCGAGGCCCGGGAUGGCCUUGAAGAGGAGGAGUAGAGGAAUGUGGAGCGAAUGGUCCAUCCAGCCUCACAUACACUGAGGGCAGUGCAAGAUCCAGUGUCCGUUAGAAAGUAAGGAUGAGCGUGAGGCCAGGAGCUCGAAGCCUGGGCGCGUGCACAGCUCGCUUGUCUCCCUGAGGCGGACGCUGAUUGGCGGCAGUGUGGACCGCAUCUACUGAGCAUUCUCAACAUCCUAGGCGGCACCUGGGACAGCUCCACUUGCUCCCUCCAGCCUCGCACCCACCGCUGAUUGGCUGCGGAGCUCCCUCCCGCCCUGCUUGCUGUGCGGAGUGGCAGGGCUUUGAGUCUAAUUGGUCCGCGGACUCAGGUUUCAGGUCUCUAAGACAGAUCUUAUCCUCCAGCCCGUCCCCCACCCCUUCUAACUGGCUGCGGAAUUUGCUCCUCCUCCGUCCCCCUAUGAAAAAACUAGGCCCCGAACCUCUUUCGCUAACAGCCUUGGAAUCUUCCUCUGCAAGGGCUCAGGAUACCACCAGUUCUUUGCUCCUGUCUUGCCAACGAGUGGCUCUCGUUGCAAACCCUUUCAUCUCUCUCUCUCAACCCCUGACAGUCUAUGAAAUGUAUGUCUGUGAUUGGUUGGGAGGCCCUCAAGAGCCAGCCGGGAUUCAGGUGCCUGUGGGCAGCUCCCCUUCCUGCCUCUUGCCUUGCUUCACUACUGAUUGGCUGCAGAACGCCCCCUGCCUCACCUGGAAGUAUGCGGGGGCAGGGAAGGCACCAGAGGGGCAGUGCCUUGACCCGUGAUUGGUCAAAUGCUCAUUGCCUGUCAGCUGAGGCAGGGUUAACUGCGUACUUCACGUACCAGCCUCCCCUGCCCGCCCCACAACCCCACCCCAGCCAACACACCAGAGAGAAUGGCCCAUUGCUUUGCCCCACCAUUAAGUUGAUCAGAGCUAAGAGCCCAGCCAGCUGGCGUUCUACCAGGAAGGGCUGUAGUGCUGACAGGCGACUAGCUCGAACGGCGCCAGUCCAAGAGCACUACUUGCCUCUCUCCUUCCAAGAGCUCGGCUGCGGUUGCACUGCUGAUUGGCUGGCUCCGCUCUUUUCUAAGUGGCUUAGCCUUGCGUUCGCGCAGGGACACAUCCAAUGAGGAGCGAGGGAGCUCUUAGGAGGCGGGCAUUGUUCGACCGGUUCCACUUCUGAUUGGUCCAGGGGCUUGCUUCUUCUCUUUUGCUUGAUCAGAGGGGCGGGAGGCGGGAGCCCAGCUCAACGGUUAUCAGGCGGCAGUUGGAGUUCUGUCCCUGUACUUCAAAAGUUCAGCUUCAGGGCUCGGUGGAGUGUUGUCUGGCGCCUACUUCCCCGUAGCUAGCUGAGGAACUGGGGAGGGAACACGGGGGGAGGAGGACCUGGGACUGUCGCUGCAGCUCCCAGUCGGGAUGGAGACCGACUGAGGCGAGUGGCGGACCGGCGGGUGCAAACCCCUCAAAAAGCUGGAAGAGUCAGGUGCUGUAAUAGUAGUAACAGCAGCUCCCGCUCACCGAGCCCUUUUGGUGUACCGCUGUGCGUGCAUCAUCUCACUGACUCCUUCUAAAUAACCCUGUGAGGGAGCAGAUUACUCUGCCGGUUAACCUCCGAGGGUCAUUUGUCGCCCACAGCGAAAGCCGGCAUUGCUGGAACUCCAACCUUGUUCUAGAGAGUCCGGCAUUCGAGCUACACUAUGAUUAAGUAGGGUUGAUCUUGUAGAUGUGGGGUGGGGCCUGAUGUGAUCACCUUGGCCCUGGCUUACCUCGUCCAUACGUGAAGGUGUUUGGGUUUUGGACUAGGAUCUGAUCCUGAAGGCUUCACUCAGUACAUAUGCUCAAGUCCUCAAACUUUUAGGUAAAUGCAUUUGCAUUCUGGGAAAGGAUAAUUUUACUGUUUAUUUCUGAGAAAGAGAGAGAGCGAGCCCGAGCGGGGGAGGGGCAAAGAGAGAGCGAGACAGAGGAUCCGAAACAGGCCCCGUGCUGACAGCACAGAGCGGGACGCGGGACUCGAACUCAUGAACUGUGAGAUCAUGACCUGAGCUACAGUAGCCGCUUACCUGACUGAGCCACCCAGGCACCCGAGGGAGUCGUUUAGACAACAGAAAUUUUUUCCCCACCCCACAGUUCUGGAGGCUGGAAGUCCAAGAUCAAACUGCCAAUAGAGUUGGUUUCUCCUGAGGAUUCUCUCCUUGGCCUGCAGAUGUCUGCCUUCUCACUGUGUCCUCCUAUGGCCUUUCCCCUAUGUACGCACACUCCUUGUGUCUCCUCCUCUUUUGAUGAGGUGCCAUGUAAACUGUUUUGUGUCAGUAAACUGUUUGUGUCAGUUCACAUAUUGAAACCUAAUCCCCAAUGUGGUAUUUGGAGAUGGGGGGGCUUUGAGAGGCGAUUAGGUCAUCAGGGGGUGGAGCCCUUAUGAAUAGGAUUAGCGCCUUUAUAAAAAAAGGCCCCAGAGAUCUCCCUUGCCCCUUCUACCAUGAGAUGUUCAGUAAGUAGACCGUCAUCCAUGAACCAGAUCCACCAGUGCCUUGAUAUGGGACAUCCCAGCCUCCAGAAAAAUAGAUUUCUGUUGUUUAUAAGCUACCCAGCCCAUGGUGUUCUAUUACGGCAGCCUGAGCAGACUAAGACAUAGUCCUAUUGGAUUAAGGCCCUACCCUUAUGACCGCAUUUACCCUUAAUUCCCUCCUUAAAGGACCCCCCUCUCCAAAUACAGCCAUGUUGGGGGUUAGGGCUUCAACAUAGGAAUUUUGGAGGGGACACAAUUCAGUCUGUAACAGAAUAUCUACCACUAAAGGCCUCAAAGUUUGGUAGGGGAGAGACAAAUUACUUACUUCAGAGGGAGGGGGCACAUCAGAAUGGUUAAGAUGUUAGCUCUGGGAACCAGACUGACAGGUUUGGGUCCUGCCUGUACCACUUAUCAACUGUGUGAACUUGAGCAAUUUUCUUCCACUUCCUGUGCCUCAUAAGAACCAAAUGAAUAGACACCCCUGAUAUUCUUAGAAUAGCCCCUGGCAUGGAGCAAGCGCUGAUGGGCUAUUGUUGGCCAUUGUUAUUGGUUGCAAGUAAACUUAAAACUAUACUAAGUGCUCUGAAGAAAAAUCACAAGAGAGAGACUUUAAGAAAGUAAAACAGGACGCUAACCUGGCCAGGGUUUUCAAGAAAGGCUUCCUGGAGGAAGUGAAUGCUUGAAGUAAGAUUUUCCAAAUAAUCACUAACACGACUAGGAGAAGGGUGAGUCUUCUGGGCAAUGGUCAGAUAGGUCCCAGAGCUCUGGGGUGAGAGGAGGCAUGGCCCCGAAGUCCAUUGUUGUUGGAAUGGAGAGAGCAAAGUGAGAGGGAGCAGGGGAAGCAGGGGAGAGUGAGGCUGGAUGUGGUGGGCGGGGCCUGGCCCAGAAGGCCAUGUUCAGGAGGGCUGGCAUUUCCUAAGAACCACGCGCAGCGCAAAGUCGCAGGAGGAGGUGUUUAUUACUUUUCAAAGUUUUUGUUUUUAUUUAUUUUGAGAGAGCAGGGAGAGGCAGAGAGAGAGGGAGUCAGAAUCCCAAGCAGGCUCCUUGGCAGAGCCUGAUGCGGGGCUCAAACCCACAAACUGCAAGAUGUUUAUUUUUGCGAGAUGUUUGACCUGAGCUGAAAUCAACGGACUGAGCCACCCAGGUGCCCCCCUUCCCCCCCCCCUUUUUUUUUUUUUUACAGAGAAUGGUUUAACCCUUCCUGGCAAUGCUGCAAGCCCUGCCACGUGAACAAACUUGGGCUGGCCUGCGGUAGACACAUGGCCCAGUUCAGAGCCAUUACCCCAGCCACCUACACCCACUGCCAGCCAGCCAUACAUGUGAGUGAAACCACCCCAGACCAAACAGCCCCCAGUCACCCCACUAGCUGACUGCAGCUGCGAGAGUCAGCCCAGGUGAGACCAACUGGAAAACUGAACUGCCUGGCUGGGCUCAGCCCAAAUGGUCCGGAAGAAUCAGGAGCUACAAAAUAAUAAUUAUUUUAAGCCACUGUGUUUUGGGUGGUUAAAAAAAAAGCUAACUGACAUACCCUGGACCAGAGUAGUUUCUAGGCAACAAAUAUCACUUACCUGGAUUCUGGGUCUCGAAAGUUGAAAAAUUCCUUCUGUUUCCAGACUGGUUUCUUCGAUUUUUUGAACGAAUUUUUAUGAGAUGAACUUAUUU
This is a long non-coding RNA of Acinonyx jubatus (cheetah), 4234 nucleotides long. RefSeq lists it as uncharacterized. The record is from RefSeq and is a predicted model, not a curated record. NCBI's taxonomy places the organism in Eukaryota, Metazoa, Chordata, Mammalia, Carnivora, Felidae. The transcript is spliced from 2 exons.